Molecule: ribosomal RNA, 253 nt
Filed under: uncultured bacterium
Lineage: Bacteria
Description: partial 16S ribosomal RNA
Rfam family: Bacterial small subunit ribosomal RNA
Source: RNAcentral
UACGUAGGGCGCAAGCGUUGUCCGGAAUUAUUGGGCGUAAAGAGCUCGUAGGCGGCCAGUUGCGUCUGCUGUGAAAUCCCGGGGCUCAACCCCGGGCUUGCAGUGGAUACGGGCUGGCUGGAGGCAGGCAGGGGAGAACGGAAUUCCCGGUGUAGCGGUGAAAUGCGCAGAUAUCGAGAGGAACACCGGUGGCGAAGGCGGUUCUCUGGGCCUGUACUGACGCUGAGGAGCGAAAGCGUGGGGAGCGAACAGG